CUGAGAGAAAUGAGAACU
Molecule: microRNA, 18 nt
Filed under: Corchorus olitorius
Lineage: Eukaryota; Viridiplantae; Streptophyta; Magnoliopsida; Malvales; Malvaceae
Description: oan-miR-13
Source: RNAcentral